Molecule: ribosomal RNA, 430 nt
Filed under: uncultured bacterium
Lineage: Bacteria
Description: partial 16S ribosomal RNA
Rfam family: Bacterial small subunit ribosomal RNA
Source: RNAcentral
GUGGAGAAUAUUGCACAAUGGGCGCAAGCCUGAUGCAGCAACGCCGCGUGAGGGAUGACGGCCUUCGGGUUGUAAACCUCUUUUAGUAGGGAAGAAGCGAAAGUGACGGUACCUGCAGAAAAAGCACCGGCUAACUACGUGCCAGCAGCCGCGGUAAUACGUAGGGGGCAAGCGUUGUCCGGAAUUAUUGGGCGUAAAGAGCUCGUAGGCGGCUUGUCGCGUCUGCUGUGAAAUCCCGGGGCUCAACCCCGGGCCUGCAGUGGGUACGGGCAGGCUAGAGUGCGGUAGGGGAGAUUGGAAUUCCUGGUGUAGCGGUGGAAUGCGCAGAUAUCAGGAGGAACACCGAUGGCGAAGGCAGAUCUCUGGGCCGUAACUGACGCUGAGGAGCGAAAGCAUGGGGAGCGAACAGGAUUAGAAACCCUUGUAGUCC